Molecule: small nuclear RNA, 136 nt
Filed under: Oesophagostomum dentatum (nodular worm)
Lineage: Eukaryota; Metazoa; Nematoda; Chromadorea; Rhabditida; Strongylidae
Description: U4 spliceosomal RNA
Rfam family: U4 spliceosomal RNA
About the family: U4 small nuclear RNA (U4 snRNA) is a component of the major U2-dependent spliceosome. The structure of U4 snRNA from yeast and human has been reported. U4 snRNA presents a k-turn RNA motif in the 5p-SL related to recognition of Snu13 protein.
Source: Rfam by way of RNAcentral
AAUUUAGUAGAGGCGAUGACGUGACCAACGAGGUUCUGCCGAGAUGAGCUUAUGGCUGGCUGAAAAUUUUUCCCAAUUGCCCGCGACGGCCCCUGAAACACGGGUGCCAUACGCAAUUUUUUAACGCUCCCAGGGG